RNAcentral lists this small RNA (88 nucleotides) under Flavobacterium terrae. Its description in RNAcentral is "Flavo-1 RNA". It matches the Rfam family "Flavo-1 RNA". The record is from Rfam by way of RNAcentral. Lineage: Bacteria; Pseudomonadati; Bacteroidota; Flavobacteriia; Flavobacteriales; Flavobacteriaceae.
UAAUAGCCCCGAUAGUAGCGACAUCCUUUUUUGUAGUCUGAGGUUUUCGAAGACACCAAAAAAGAUAUAGCGGAAAGCGGGAUGUAAU